GCCUCGCUGGCUCUGUUGGUAGAGCAUGGGACUCUUGAUCUUGGGGUCAUGAGUAUGAGCCCCAUGUUGGGCA
RNAcentral lists this transfer RNA (73 nucleotides) under Ailuropoda melanoleuca (giant panda). It matches the Rfam family "tRNA". Rfam says of the family: Transfer RNA (tRNA) molecules are approximately 80 nucleotides in length. Their secondary structure includes four short double-helical elements and three loops (D, anti-codon, and T loops). Lineage: Eukaryota; Metazoa; Chordata; Mammalia; Carnivora; Ursidae. The record is from Rfam by way of RNAcentral.